This 201-nucleotide ribosomal RNA is filed under the name uncultured bacterium. RNAcentral's name for it is "partial 16S ribosomal RNA". It matches the Rfam family "Bacterial small subunit ribosomal RNA", at positions 332 to 524 of the family's 1533-position model. The record is from RNAcentral.
AUUACUCCUACGGGAGGCAGCAGUAGGGAAUCUUCGGCAAUGGACGAAAGUCUGACCGAGCAACGCCGCGUGAGUGAAGAAGGUUUUCGGAUCGUAAAACUCUGUUGUUAGAGAAGAACGUUGCAUAGAGUGGAAAGUUAUGCAAGUGACGGUAUCUAACCAGAAAGGGACGGCUAACUACGUGCCAGCAGCCGCGGUAAU